RNAcentral lists this long non-coding RNA (453 nucleotides) under Pan troglodytes (chimpanzee). Its description in RNAcentral is "lincRNA". The record is from RNAcentral. Lineage: Eukaryota; Metazoa; Chordata; Mammalia; Primates; Hominidae.
CAGAUAAGACUCUGUCUACCCUGGGCAGCUUUCCUGAUCCAUGACAGGCUGGCUUACAAGCAAUACUAGGCUUCUAUUGUCUCUUUCUGUCUAUUUAUAAGAAACAUGGCCAGGCAAGAUGGCUUAUGUCUUUAAUCUCAGCUGUUUGGGAAGCCAAGUGGAAAGAUUGCUGGAGGCCAGGAGUUCAAGACCAACCUGGAUAACACAGCCCAGUCCCAAAAAAGCACCUGAAGCUUGUUUUAGUUUUCAUUCUUCUUAUGGUGUACACUUUAAGUGAAUUGGUAUGUCUACAUCAUCCCAGUAGGAGUGAAUGUCUGUGUGUGUGUACCUGAGAUAAGAUGAUGUCUUGUCCAAUGCUGGUUUCCACCUUGUGCCCUGAGCUGUAGGGAGAGGCUCCUGCGACCUGUGACCCUGAAGCAGAAUAAGUGGACUGAAUAAAGGAAUGAUGGAUAU